Molecule: ribosomal RNA, 446 nt
Filed under: uncultured bacterium
Lineage: Bacteria
Description: partial 16S ribosomal RNA
Rfam family: Bacterial small subunit ribosomal RNA
Source: RNAcentral
CCUACGGGAGGCUGCAGUCGAGAAUCAUUCACAAUGGGGGAAACCCUGAUGGUGCGACGCCGCGUGGGGGAAUGAAGGUCUUCGGAUUGUAAACCCCUGUCAUGUGGGAGCAAAUUAAAAAGAUAGUACCACAAGAGGAAGAGACGGCUAACUCUGUGCCAGCAGCCGCGGUACUACAGAGGUCUCAAGCGUUGUUCGGAAUCACUGGGCGUAAAGCGUUCGUAGGCUGUUUCGUAAGUCGUGUGUGAAAGGCGCGGGCGCAAACCGCAGCCGGCGAAUGAUACUGCGAGACUAGAGUAAUGGAGGGGGAACCGGAAUUCGCGGUGUAGCAGUGAAAUGCGUAGAUAUCGAGAGGAACACUCGUGGCGAAGGCGGGUUCCUGGACAUUAACUGACGCUGAGGCACGAAGGCCAGGGGAGCGAAAGGGAUUAGAUACCCUGGUAGUC